AACGAACGCUGGCGGCAUGCCUAACACAUGCAAGUCGAACGAGACCUUCGGGUCUAGUGGCGCACGGGUGCGUAACGCGUGGGAACCUGCCCUUAGGUUCGGAAUAACUCCCCGAAAGGGGUGCUAAUACCGGAUAAUGUCUUCGGACCAAAGAUUUAUCGCCUUUGGAUGGGCCCGCGUUGGAUUAGCUAGUUGGUAGGGUAAAAGCCUACCAAGGCGACGAUCCAUAGCUGGUCUGAGAGGAUGAUCAGCCACACUGGGACUGAGACACGGCCCAGACUCCUACGGAAGGAAGAAGGGGGGAUAAUGGAACAAUGGGCGAAGGCCGAAUCCAGCAAUGCCGCGUGAGGGAUGAAGGCCUUAGGGUUGUAAAGCUCUUUUACCCGGGAUGAUAAUGACAGUACCGAGAGAAUAAGCUCCGGCUAACUCCUU
RNAcentral lists this ribosomal RNA (432 nucleotides) under uncultured bacterium. Its description in RNAcentral is "partial 16S ribosomal RNA". It matches the Rfam family "Bacterial small subunit ribosomal RNA", at positions 29 to 506 of the family's 1533-position model. The record is from RNAcentral.